GCGCCUGGCCCCAGCCGGUCUCGGGGGGCGGGGGAAGAAUGUCAGGGCGCGGCCUGUCUCCCAGAGGCCUCUCCUCGGCCUACAGCACCUUUGGGCAAAAAGGGCGACCCACAGGCCUCUCACAUUCGGCGCUAACCAUCCUCAGCCCCCUCGCCCUGGGCUCCUUUAGUACUCAACAGGCCAGUGGGGGCACUUAACGGAAGCUGAGCUGCUGCCCUGUCCGUGGGAAGCCUCUCCUGGGUGUAUUUAGAACCGAGGGUCCCUCAAGGGACGUGAGGUCAGUACGCCCGUGUAUGCAGGCGCGUUCAGCUGGUGAUACCGGAGAUGCUGACACUCCUGCUGUAUCCUCUCUUGGAGAGAAACCCGGUGCUCAGCUCAAGGCUCAGCCUUUCAGGAAAGGGCACUCGAAUAUUAUUCUGGUGUCUUCUACAGGGCCAAGAUAACCCGAAAGUAUCCCGGUUCCAGGAGGCCUGCCUCAGCCAGGGUGCAGGCUGUCAGCGAGAUUUCCCGGGUGUGCUCCAGAUUGGAGACAGGCCUGACUAACCCCGAAUCCGGGAUUAGAUAGCAGGGCCUGGGUGAUCGGUGGCAAGGUCGCUAGGCUCCUCCGGCAGCAGAGCCUCCCCAAGCAGGGUAGCCAUACAGGCCACCCUGUCGCAGGCCUGGGGCGGCACGAAGCGGAGGAUCAGUGUGCAAUGGCCUUGGGAAGUCUCCGACGCUUAAACUGUCUGAAUAAUUUGCAUGGAGCGGCUAUUCAUUAUUUCCGAUGAUUUUCCUUCGCAAGCAGCUCGGACGUGGCCGGCUGUGGUUCAACGCGAUCGGAGAGCUCGUAUUUUCAUCUGUAAAUUAAAGCAAUUACGCAGCAGA
Canis lupus familiaris (dog) is the source of this 864-nucleotide long non-coding RNA. RefSeq lists it as uncharacterized. NCBI's taxonomy places the organism in Eukaryota, Metazoa, Chordata, Mammalia, Carnivora, Canidae. The record is from RefSeq and is a predicted model, not a curated record. The transcript is spliced from 2 exons.